RNAcentral lists this long non-coding RNA (1065 nucleotides) under Capra hircus (goat). RNAcentral's name for it is "lncRNA (ENSCHIG00000005123.1)". Lineage: Eukaryota; Metazoa; Chordata; Mammalia; Artiodactyla; Bovidae. The record is from RNAcentral.
AAGAGAUUGAGGAGCUGGGCUCACUUUCAAUCCUGAGCUUCAGGAGAAGCAGAGCCCUGACCUCCCUCCCCUAACUCACCACUCCAGGGCUGGGACCAGUAAGCUCGUAGAAGCAGCUCCAGUUCAGGGAGCCUUGUGGUUAGAACUGACCCUGUCUCCAGAGGCCACGCCAAAGGUCAAGGGUUUGAGGAAAGAUAAUGCCUCCCAGCCACCUUUUUUUUGUUUAAAAUGGAUCCAUCCUCAACAAAAUGAGUGUCUGCCACGUUGACCCUAACCUUUGCUUUCUGCAUGUCUAUGGCUGGAUACACAUCUCCUGGAUGGAGAAGAAGCGAGGCCUCCCAGUUAUUAAAGGAGAUUGUAAGGUUUGGGACGAAGCUGCACAGCCAGUCUUGGGAGAAGAGUGAACCUAAGCCGUGGAGGUGGUGGAGCAGCAUGGAUGGAAAAGUUCCCUCUGGGAAGGAAUGAUGUGUGUGGACCUCGUCACAGGAAUCAUCAUAUCAGCAGUAACUCAGUGAGCUGGGCGGCCUUGUUAUUCCCAUUUUACAGAUGGAGAAAACUGAAGAGGCUGAGUCGCUUGUACAAGGUGUCACUGCCAGGGAGUGGCUGAGCUGGGAUUUCAACCCAUACCUCUCUGCCUGCAGAGUCUGCAUGCUCAGACUAUUAUAGUGGGGGGCAUUGAAGACGCCAGUCUAGAGCAUAGACUGAGCUGUACGAUGAUGACCUAAAAUGCAUCAGAUCCUGACUGCACACUCAAAACCUCUAAUCCUGUGACUCUUAUCCAAGUUGUGUAUUAAAGAGGAAAACGAGCUUCUGCCCCUAAUUGAUUCUAAUCCUCUCCCACCCCCGGGUUCACUGUCAUUUUGGCUCUGCUUGGAAAGAUAAACACUAACCAUUGGACUUUGCCCUCUGAGGAUCCUGCUCCUACUCUCAAACAGGAGAAGGUACCCAAUGUCUGGUUCCCUCGCCUGUGCUGAGGAAUAAAGGAACCUGAAAAUGCACUGCCAUUUCAGAAAGAGCCUGCCUGCCACAAAGGUAAUAGUGUUUGAUGAUGCCACUGUCUUUCUU